UUCAAUAAAGAGUUAGGAAAA
RNAcentral lists this non-coding RNA (21 nucleotides) under Caenorhabditis elegans. Lineage: Eukaryota; Metazoa; Nematoda; Chromadorea; Rhabditida; Rhabditidae. The record is from RNAcentral.